CGAUGGUUGUUUGAACCGCACGGUUCAAACAUAAAAGGUGGCUUCGGCUACCACUUACAGAUGGACCCGCGGCGCACUAGCUAGUUGGUGAGGUAACGGCUCACAAGGCGACGAUGCGUAGCCCACCUGAGAGGGUGAUCGGCCACACUGGGACUGAGACACGGCCCUAACCCUACGGGAGGCAGCAGUAGGGAAUCUUCCGCAAUGGACGAAAGUCUGACAGAGCAACGCCCCGUGAGUGAUGAAGGUUUUCGGAUCGUAAAGCUCUGUUGUUAGGGAAGAACAAGUACCGUUCGAAUAGGGCGGUACCUUGACGGUACCUAACCAGAAACCACGGCUAACUACGUGCCAGCAGCCGCGGUAAUACGUAGGUGGCAAGCGUUGUCCGGAAUUAUUGGGCGUAAAGGGCCGCAGGCGGUUUCUUAAGUCUGAUGUGAAAGCCCCCGGCUCAACCGGGGAGGGUCAUUGGAAACUGGGGAACUUGAGUGCAGAAGAGGAGAGUGGAAUUCCACGUGUAGCGGUGAAAUGCGUAGAGAUGUGGAGGAACACCAGUGGCGAAAGCGACUCUCUGGUCUGUAACUGACGCUGAGGAGCGAAAGCGUGGGGAGCGAACAGGAUUAGAUACCCUGGUAGUCCACGCCGUAAACGAUGAGUGCUAAGUGUUAGGGGGUUUCCGCCCCUUAGUGCUGCAGCUAACGCAUUAAGCACCCGCCUGGGGAGUACGGUCGCAAGACUGAAACUCAAAGGAAUUGACGGGGGCCCGCACAAGCGGUGGAGCAUGUGGUUUAAUUCGAAGCAACACGAAGAACCUUACCAGGUCUUGACAUCCUCUGACAAUCCUAGAGAUAGGACGUCCCCUUCGGGGGCAGAGUGACAGGUGGUGCAUGGUUGUUGUCAGCUCGUGUCGUGAGAUGUUGGGUUAAGUCCCGCAACGAGCGCAACCCUUGAUUUUAGUUGCCAGCAUUCAGUUGGGCACUUUAAGGUGACUGCCGGUGACAAACCGGAGG
Molecule: ribosomal RNA, 1007 nt
Filed under: uncultured bacterium
Lineage: Bacteria
Description: bacterial SSU rRNA
Rfam family: Bacterial small subunit ribosomal RNA
Source: RNAcentral